This 566-nucleotide long non-coding RNA is filed under the name Pan troglodytes (chimpanzee). Its description in RNAcentral is "lincRNA". Lineage: Eukaryota; Metazoa; Chordata; Mammalia; Primates; Hominidae. The record is from RNAcentral.
GUACUGAUGCAGACAGCUAAAGGAAUGCCAGCACUGAACUUGACCUACCUUGCUUAUAACAAUGAAUUACCCUUUAUAGAACAGCCUGUGUCUUACUCAGAUCCCUUAUUAAAAUCCUGACAUCCCUGGGUCUUAUUAAGGCCCUAGAGAAGUGCCUGGAACUCGGUUCAGCACAGGUGUGAGGCCUAAUUUCCUCUUGUGAUCAACUCACAGUGUGCUGGCAAGACCUGCCAAUCCACUCCUCUGGGAGCCCAUCUGUCACUAUGCGGAGGUGUCACUACAAGAAAAUGGUCAGGGUCACUUUGCUGUUGUCUUCAUAUGGCUGCAAGUCUUUUCUUUAGUGAGUGCAAGAAGACUUGAUUCAGUCUACCCUGAAAUAGGGUCUUUGGUUCUUUUGUCUUCAAUUUUGCUGUUCAAUAAUUUUUUAUUUCAAAUUGCAACUUCCUUGGAUUUUGCAGAUACAUAUAUCAUCUUUUUUUUUACUAGCUAUAGUAGAGAAAUGAAAACGUUUAAUGAAGAAAAGGAAAGUAUGAAUAUUUGAAGAAAUAGAUUUGGCAGUUAAAUAC